CAGUCGCCGCGGUAAUACGAGGGGGGCAAGCGUUGUUCGGAAUUAUUGGGCGUAAAGGGUGCGUAGGCGGUUUGAUAAGUCACAUGUGAAAUCUUCGGGCUCAACCCGAAGUCCGCAUGCGAAACUGUCGGGCUUGAGUAUGGGAGAGGUGAGUGGAAUUUCCGGUGUAGCGGUGAAAUGCGUAGAUAUCGGAAGGAACACCUGUGGCGAAAGCGGCUCACUGGACCAUAACUGACGCUGAUGCACGAAAGCUAGGGGAGCAAACAGGAUUAGAUACCCCCGUAGUCCCUGUCUCUUAUAC
This 301-nucleotide ribosomal RNA is filed under the name uncultured bacterium. RNAcentral describes it as "partial 16S ribosomal RNA". It matches the Rfam family "Bacterial small subunit ribosomal RNA", at positions 509 to 807 of the family's 1533-position model. The record is from RNAcentral.